RNAcentral lists this ribosomal RNA (490 nucleotides) under uncultured bacterium. Its description in RNAcentral is "partial 16S ribosomal RNA". It matches the Rfam family "Bacterial small subunit ribosomal RNA", at positions 30 to 507 of the family's 1533-position model. The record is from RNAcentral.
AUUGAACGCUGGCGGCAGGCCUAACACAUGCAAGUCGAACGGUAACAGAAAGCAGCUUGCUGCUUUGCUGACGAGUGGCGGACGGGUGAGUAAUGUCUGGGAAACUGCCUGAUGGAGGGGGAUAACUACUGGAAACGGUAGCUAAUACCGCAUAACGUCGCAAGACCAAAGAGGGGGACCUUCGGGCCUCUUGCCAUCGGAUGUGCCCAGAUGGGAUUAGCUAGUAGGUGGGGUAACGGCUCACCUAGGCGACGAUCCCUAGCUGGUCUGAGAGGAUGACCAGCCACACUGGAACUGAGACACGGUCCAGAUUCCUACGGGAGGCAGCAGUGGGGAAUAUUGCACAAUGGGCGCAAGCCUGAUGCAGCCAUGCCGCGUGUAUGAAGAAGGCCUUCGGGUUGUAAAGUACUUUCAGCGGGGAGGAAGGGAGUAAAGUUAAUACCUUUGCUCAUUGACGUUACCCGCAGAAGAAGCACCGGCUAACUCCGUG